This 246-nucleotide long non-coding RNA is filed under the name Elaeis guineensis (African oil palm). Its description in RNAcentral is "long non-coding RNA (EGUI_LNC006127)". The record is from RNAcentral. Lineage: Eukaryota; Viridiplantae; Streptophyta; Magnoliopsida; Arecales; Arecaceae.
GGACGUGAGGGAACGUGCAUCGGUACCUACCACGUGGAAGCGAUUUGAAUUCCAAUUCUUUUCAAAACCUGCAUAAUAGGUAUGAGUUAUAUGGCUUAGAUCAUAGCUCAAAUUAUAGUUCGGAUCAUGCUUUGCUUGAAUUAUGGCUCGGAUCACACCUUAUAAUCCUAAUUACAGUUAAACUUUUAGUUUAGCUCGAGAUUUAGCUAAUAUGGCUCAGAGCAUGAUCCACAUCAAACCAAGCAC